GUGAGGAAUAUUGGUCAAUGGGCGGGAGCCUGAACCAGCCAAGUCGCGUGAAGGAAGAAGGAUCUAUGGUUCGUAAACUUCUUUUGCAGGGGAAUAAAGUGCAGGACGUGUCCUGUUUUGUAUGUACCCUGAGAAUAAGGAUCGGCUAACUCCGUGCCAGCAGCCGCGGUAAUACGGAGGAUCCGAGCGUUAUCCGGAUUUAUUGGGUUUAAAGGGUGCGUAGGUGGUUUGAUAAGUCAGCGGUGAAAGUUUGCAGCUUAACUGUAAAAAUGCCGUUGAGACUGUCGGACUUGAGUGUAAAUGAGGUAGGCGGAAUGCGUGGUGUAGCGGUGAAAUGCAUAGAUAUCACGCAGAACUCCGAUUGCGAAGGCAGCUUACUAGGCUACAACUGACACUGAAGCACGAAAGCGUGGGGAUCAAACAGGAUUAGAAACCCCUGUAGUCC
RNAcentral lists this ribosomal RNA (445 nucleotides) under uncultured bacterium. RNAcentral describes it as "partial 16S ribosomal RNA". It matches the Rfam family "Bacterial small subunit ribosomal RNA", at positions 354 to 796 of the family's 1533-position model. The record is from RNAcentral.